Molecule: small nuclear RNA, 21 nt
Filed under: Arabidopsis thaliana (thale cress)
Lineage: Eukaryota; Viridiplantae; Streptophyta; Magnoliopsida; Brassicales; Brassicaceae
Description: snRNA_07117
Source: RNAcentral
UGUCAAUCCAAACUUUAAUCA